Molecule: long non-coding RNA, 7823 nt
Filed under: Prunus persica (peach)
Lineage: Eukaryota; Viridiplantae; Streptophyta; Magnoliopsida; Rosales; Rosaceae
Description: long non-coding RNA (PPER_LNC002315)
Source: RNAcentral
GAUAGGAAGAGGUGAUGCUAGUGGUGUUUUCACUAGAAAGAACAUUAAAAAUACAAUUUUGCCCCUAAAUGUGAUAGAAAAUGUAAUGCAAGGACCAACGAUGGUAAUGGAAGUGGAGUUGACUCAGUAAUUUUGUAUAUUCAAGGACCAAAAUGCAAAUUGGGUACAAAUUCAAGAAUUAUUGCAUCUAAAAACCCUAUAGAAUUGUGCGGUCUGUUGUAAAUAUAUAAGGUGGAGCCCACCUCCAUUAGAAGAUGCUUGCCUAUAAAUAAGGCUUCCCCCUACUUGUAAUACACACACACAUGAGAUUGGAAACAAACAUUGAGGGCUCGUUUGUUUCACCUUCUUAGCUUAAGAUUGGAUUGGACAAAUUUUUAUCCCUUGUUUGUUUUCAUUUGGUUCUAGUUUUAAGUGGGACUGUUAAUACUGGCCUCACCAAAAACACCUCCUUAGGUGUUCUUAGUGAGACCCGUGUGGAAAGGGAGGACUAGCCUUCGCUGGCGUUCGUUUCCUUAUCACACUCCGCACCCAAGCGCAAGCAACCAGCCACAACCACCGACCGCCCAAGCAACCAAGAGCCAGCAGACCCGCCGAACUUGCCGCAACCACCAAGAGCCAAUAGACCCACCCACCACAGAUGCUUUCUCUCUCCUUCAGCCACAACCCAGAUAUUCGCCAGAUUUGUCAAGGCCACUACAUCAUCGUUCCCAAUCAGCCAUAACCCAGUCGAAAUUCAAAGAAAAAACACCGCACACAAACCCACUGCAUCAUCGAUGUGCCCCUCUUCCUCAACUCCGUUUCUCUACUUCUCUUUGCAAAGUCAAAAAACAAAUUGCAAAACAGAAAAGAAACAUAAAUGCUUUCAAAAAUAGAACUAAUAAAUAAAGAGAAAAUUAGACAUAGGAAGAGGAGAAGAGAGACAAUGGAGAAGAAUAAGAUGAAAGAGAGGGGGGAGUUGCAGGCAAGGGAGGAGAAAGAAACUGAACAGAGGAGGGGGAGUUUCAUUUUCUGUCGUGAGGAAGAAGAAGAAAAGUUUUAUAAAAAAAUUAAAAAAUUAAAAACUUACUUUUCAAAAAAAAAAAAUAUUAUUAAAAAAUUUAGUCCCAGUCCAAUCAAAUAUACACCAAACGUAGUACACGUAUUAUCCAACUUAUGCCAGGCCAAGCCAAUCCAAGACAGUUUCAAAAUUUAGUCCAGUCCAUGACAAUCCACCGUACCAAACGACCCCUGAAUGAAUAGAAAUCAGUUUCUAUACCUCCUCUCUAUCUCAAUUCUCUCUAAUUUCUCACUAGAUUUAUAACACGUUAUCACCACGAAGCUCUAACCAGCUGAGUUCUCUGAUAAAACCCAGAGACCAAAAUCAACCGGAAUUCUCAGCUCUCUCUGUCUCCUAUAUCUGUAGAGAUAUUCCCACUGAAGCCUCUGAACAUCGCCGAUGCUCAACUUCUCAAUCCCAAUCCUUGGAGGGGGCAUAUGGCUGAGCGGCAGAGCCAAAGAAAUAUCAAACACUUUCUCUGAUUUCAAAUUUCAAGUUUCCACAGAAAAAAAAAAGAAAAAAAAAAGAAAAAGCCACAUGAAGACUGUGCCUACUGCCUACCUCUUUCUCUCUGUCUCUCCCUCUCUCUCUCUUGAAGGUCUCUCAGUUCAUUUACUUCUCUGAGAGUAAAUUUCUGUUGGCAUAUUUCGAGGUCCAAAAUUGAUUGAAACACACUUUGAUGUCUAUGCCACUGGAGCAUGAUUACAUAGGCUUAACAGAGACUUCUUCAAUGGAAAGAAGCUCUGAAAAGAUUUCUUCUUCCUGGUCAGCCAUAACAGUCUCAGAGUACUCUAGCUCUAAGCUGAUCUUCAACAACAUCUCAGACCCAUUUGGGUUUGCAGUGAAGAGAAAGUCAGAUGGCCAAGUUCUUUUCAACUCGAGCUCUGAUCCUAAAGACCCAUAUGGUGAAUUGGUGUUUAAGGACCAGUACCUGGAGAUUUCGACGGUGUUUAAGGACCCGACCUCAGCUCAGUUGGUAGAGCAGCAGGACUGAAGAAGGAGGGAGGGACUUGGUGGUUUUCUUUUCGGGCCACGACCGAAAUGAUGAGCAGCACCCACCGAUAAAGAAUAGCACCCACCGAAAUGAUGAGCUUCCCACCAUCUUUUUCAAUUAUUUUUAUUCUAUAUUAUUUAAUAUUAAUAUUAAUGCAUGUUCUAAGGGCAGGUCAAAUGAAAACACAGUGACAAGCGUGAUACCUUACAGCAAAUUAGCACUAAGUUGCAGAUGGCCAUGCUUCUAUAAUAUAUAUAUAUAUAUGAAAAGUUGAUGGUAAUAUAAUAUACUAUAUUUAUCUGCCAUUCUAUUACUAACCUUUAACAAAAUGGACCCUCGGUAAUACUAAAUAUAUUAUCAGUGGGAGACCAUUAGUAAUACUAACACUUUUCUUAUAUUUUCAGUGGUGGUUUUUAUUCCCACAUUUAUUUUAUUUACUGUAUGGUGUAGGUUUAUUACCCAUACAACAGUAUUUAUUUAAAAGGGUGGUGCGGGUUUAUCGUCCACGCCUUUACUUUUAUUUAAAUGUAUGGAGCAGAAUUAGUGCCCAUACAAGCACGUUUACUUUACCGCAAAUUUACUUUUACUUAAAGUAUGAUGUGGAAUUGACCCUCAUACUUUAUGAAAUUACUUUACUGUACAUUAUUUACUGUAUGGUGUAGGUUUAUUACCCAUACAACAGUAUCUAUUUAAAAGGGUGGUGCGGGUUUAUCGUCCACGCCUUUACUUUUAUUUAAAAGUAUGGAGCAGAAUUAGUGCCCAUACAAGCACGUUUACUUUAUGAAUUUAAUUUACCGCACAUUUAAUUUUAUUUAAGGUAUGGUGCGGGAUUAACGUCCAUACAGCAAGCAAUUUAAUUUAUGAAUUUAUUUUACCGCACAUUUACAUUUAUUUAAAGUAUGUUGCGGGUUUAUCGUCCAUACCAGUAAUUUAUUUACCAGCAAUUUAUUUUAUGGAUUAAUUGUGCUGUAUGAUGAGUUUUUACAGUAAGCAGAUCAGGACCAGAAGUUCCUUGAUCCUCAUCAUACAAUUACAUCAGGACUUGAACAUCCUUGAUGAUGAUAUUAAUAUGAGAGCUGGCAGUCUCUCCGGUACUAUUUUUGUAAACAUGUGAUUGGACUUGAGGGUCCUUGAUCCCUGACAUGUAAAUAAGGACCUGGGGUUCCUUAAUGAUGUAACAGUACCGUAUUGGUUCAUAAUGCCGUACACAUGGAUGAUAACUGUACUGGCAAAUGUACUGUAAACAUGAAUAGAUACGUAUUCAUGACUUGAUGAAUAGUACCGGAUAUAUGAAUAGUGAUGUAUACAUAAAUAUUAACCAUUUUGGGUAAACCAUCACUAUUCAAAAAGGAACCUGCAGUUCCUUAAACUCAUGGAUGAGCAAUUAAAUGAGAUGCCAGAAGUUCCUCAAGAUAUGGACAAUUAUGUAAGGGCUUGAAGUCCAGAAAUAUGUACAGAAAAUUGUAAAAAUGUCCAUACCAUGAGAAUAUGUGAUUUUGGCUUGAGGUUCAAAAUCUAACAGUGUUGAGAACCUAAAGUUCCAACAAUUAAAUGGACAACCCUUGAGGUAUUAUUGCAAAUUGUGGUACGCCACAUAUUUCUUUGGCAUAAGAAGAUGAUGAAUUUAAUAAAGUUCGAUUUUGCUAUAAUCGACACCUCAAGGAAGAAAUAUAUUUUGUAAAUUCCGGUUGUUAAAAAUACACCGUGAAAUGGAUAAUAUCAGUAUAAACCUUAAAUGAUGAAUUGAGGCUCCCCACAUAUUUUGUUAUAUCUGGGCUGGAAGCUCAUGAACCCAAAUAUAUGAGAUAUUAGCGUGGUUUUACUCAAUCCAUAUUUCAUGUUCAUUUGAAAAGGGCGAAUAAAUUCUGAGUUUGUGUUUAGCCCAGGCCAAAAGUUCCGGGCUCCCAUACGUUGAAAUAUGAAAUUUGGGAGAGUCGAUGUGGUUAUUUGAACCUAUAAGGCACAAGGUUCCAAACCGUCAUUUUGAAAAGACGUAAAAACCACAGGUGCAAGUUUAAGAAUGUGCGCAAUUAUUAUAACAGGAACAUACAACAGAUAGAUUUUUUCCACCUGCAAUGAAAGUGCAGGCCCUACAAAAUCUAUAAAAUUACAUUAUGUUCUGGAAGCCUCUGAAGGAAGAGGACGACGCCUCUUAAGCUUAGCCAUGAGCCUCUCGUAGUCUCCUAAAAUUCUUUCAUUGGAGACCUGCAGCAUGUCUAGCCUUCUCAGUGUAUCAACAGAGUACGAACUCACCAGUUUCAACAAGGCAUUAUUCUCUCCUUUAAGUUUCUCAACCUCCUGUUGAGACUCAUGAAGCAUUCUUUGGAGAGACGAAUUUUCAGUUGUUAACUUCUGAACCUCGUUUGCUCUAGCAUGCAAACGAUCAGCCAUGUUAGAAACAGAAGCAGCACUCUGAAUGCUAGAAGCCAUUGAGUCAUCAAUAGCCUCUUCCUCAGACCUCCCUGUUAACAGCAUUUCAUCCAUUGGAGUAAUGAAAUUCCUAGCUACUAUGACAGUAGUAGCAUCAUUCAUCAUCACAGAAUCAUUAACUGUGAGAUGACGGUUUUUGGAUACAAAGGAUGGACGCCAAACUUUGGCGUCACUGGUUGUUGUGGGAGCAUCAUUUAAAUUGAAAUAAUUUGGGCAGGAAGAAGAGGAAGCCAUUUUUAAGAAGGUUUCAAAGAAAAGUCUUAAGAAAACUAAAGUUUCAGAAAAUGAAGGAAGUUAAGUUGAAACGCAGUUGCUCCAAUCAAGUUUUGCAAAGGCAAUAUCUAUAGGAGGAAAUAUGGCUACAGUUUUUCAGGAUCCCAAUAUCUUCUCGGAUCCCCAUAUUCUCUUUUUCUUUCCCAGAUUCCAAAACUCCACGCGGCCUCCAUUAAUGUUUGUCGGCACUUUCGGCGUCUUCAAGUAUUAUUUUCGUCAAAAGCCGAUCUUGCUUUGCGGAUUUCACGGAGCUAUUUUUUCAAAAGUACCCCGAGAAUCUCGCAAUUUUCCUAUGGUUAAUUUGAAAUUCACCGGUUCUACCUAUUCCUCUUAUUUGUGUAUAAAUGUGUUACUAACGAAAUUUUCUUUGCAGAAGACAUCCAGUUUUCUCCAUACCUAGUGAUGCGAUAUCUACUUAUUUUUCUUAUCAGUGAGCACUCAAUAUGCCCGAGAAAGCAAGACUAUCUCUGAUCAUCCAUUCAGGAAGCGAGACUAUCCCUGAUCACGUUUCCGCCACAUCAGGGAACUGUGAAGGCGACCUUAUGCUCUAAUCUCCGGAAGUUCUUCUAGACUAGAAGAAAUGAGAGCUUGUUGUUUGCUCCCACCAGCUUCCUUCCUUGAUUGCUGAGCUUGUUGUCUGCUCCCACCAGCUUCCUUCCCUGAUUGCUUACCUUCUCUUGCAAUCAAUAUCACAAUUUUUUUUGCAUUUUUUCUCUUUUUGUAACUCUCUGUUCAUAAGAGAUUUUAUUUCUUUAGAAUGAACAUCUGAAGAAAAAAUCCAUGAAGUGAUCCUAACUCUGAGGGUUAUUUGCUUUUGACAGAGAAAAGAGUUGUGAUUUUGCUCUUGCAGGAUAUGACUAGAUCAUCAAGCGCUACAUUAUAUUUACUGGGCCAAUACGAGCUUGAAUGAUACUUGAGAAAAGUUUCUCCCACCUAAGGAUGUAAGCAAUACUUGUGUUAUUUUAUGCUUAUAUACUUAUUUGAUAUUUUAUCUUGAAAGGUAACCAAAUGGGGAGAUAAGUCUGUUCCAAAAGAAUGGCUCGUAUGUAUCCAUGAAUUAUUAAUGCAAAUUUUACAGAUUGCAAGUUGGAUACAUUGAUAAUACACUGCACAGAUUAAAGUCCCAUAAGAACAGAAUAUGGGUAUAGCAGUGAUCAAUAUGAUGCACGCCUGUUGCGUAGCAAAUGAUGUGGAUUGAAGUCCCGAAAGGACAAUCCUUUGACAUGUCAAUAUUGAUAUUGUGCACGCUAAUGCGUAGCAAAUUGUAUGGGUUAAAGUCCCAGAAAUUAAUUGACAUGUAUGUAUUAAUCUGUGGCAUGCCUGCAGCAUGACAGAUAUAUGGGUUCUAAAUGUUCCAACUCCCUAAAUGGAGAUUUUCCACGCCCUAUGUAAAAUAACGCUCCAUUGGAGGUUAUAAUCCACAUUCUCACAUAAUAAAAGCCCCCUGAAGUGGCUUGGGUACCCAAAAGCAAAGAAAUGCUUAUAAUUGAUGCAUGCACGUGCAAAUGAGAAUGAUGGGAUCAUGAAUUGAUGAAUGACAAUUUUUGGUUUUGGAGUAGCUACUCAAAUCAUCAAUGGGCUGUGUUGAUUGGAACCACGUUCAGUUAUUAAAUGUCGACAAUAUCAUUGGCCAAAAUGGAAUGAGGUAAUUCCAUUAUAGAUGAGAAUGAACGUGAAAGAACAAACCCACAGUACGAAACCCAAAAGAUGUUAAUACUGAAAUUUAUACUUGGGUGUUUAGAAUAAAAGGGAAUAUAUCUACUUUGUAUGACACAAUGUUUCUGGCAGAAACAAGGAAUGUUGGGUUUUCUCCAUAUUUACAUAUUCAAUUGUGCCCCCUUUAUUGCACAUUUACAGAGACCAACAUGUUAUUUUUAAGGGUUAUUAAAUGCACGGAGCAUAUCGCCAGAAGCGAUUCCCUAAAGAUGUAUAAAUAGCUGGGUAAAAGCUAUAUAAUGUGUCACAAAAUUUAAUCCCCUUUAAACAAAAUCCUUGAAAGGGUUGAAAUUGCAUGAAGCAAGUCCCUGAAGGACAUGUGCCUGAAGCACAAAAUCUGUACUCAAUACUAAUGUGCAUAAAUUACCUCAGUGAGUACAUUGAUUAUAAUGUGUUUGCAACACAUUAAAACUUCUGAAGAAUUCACGAAAUAUUUGUCUCGACUUAAAGAUCGAGCAUUAUGCCAAUGAGAUUCUUGCUUAUACUAAGACAGUAUUGAAGUAUUUUUUUUUUAGGAUUAUCCGUUGGACACUUAAAUGUUUUUCCGGAAGUAUACUAGACUAGAUAGAGCUUAGCUCCAUCACCACCACUUUGAGAUGAUGUGAGGCAUAUUUAAUGCUAUCUAAGCACAACACUAUAUACGGGCAUAUUUUUGAGUGAACUUAUAAAUAGCCCAAGUGUUAUUAGAUAUGCGGACUCUGGAAAUCUCUAUGGUCGCUUACUGGAAAAAACUAGUCAUGAAGUUUUCAGGGGGAGAUAUUCAUAAAGGGGAGUGUGGUUUUAAUAAAGACCUCCAUACACUGUACUCUUUUUCCUUCAUCCAGGUUUUUAUCCCACUGGGUUUUUCCUGGUAAGGUUUUAACGAGGCAGUGUCGCUCAAGAUUGACUCAUAGAAGCAGUGUCAACUACGAUAUUCAGAAAGGUGAUCGACAGUAUGACUUAAAGAUAUUUUGCCAAGCAUCAGGGGGAGCGUGCUAUCAAUAAAGAUCUUCAAACACUGUACUCUUUUUCCUUCGUCUAGGUUUUUAUCCCACUGGGUUUUUCCUGGCAAGGUUUUAACGAGGCAGUGUCGCACGCGUGUCAAUAUAUAUAGAAUUUUAUGUUACACAUGAUUAUGUACUCUUUUUCUUUUUGACCAGUUUUUAUCCCACUGGGUUUUUAAUGGCAAGGUUUUUAACGAGGCAUAUUCCAUAUCAUUUGUGGUCUCCAAGGGGGAGUGUUGUAAAUAUAUAAGGUGGAGCCCACCUCCAUUAGAAGAUGCUUGCCUAUAAAUAAGGCUUCCCCCUACUUGUAAUACACACACACAUGAGAUUGGAAACAAACAUUGAAUGAAUAGAAAUCAGUUUCUAUACCUCCUCUCUAUCUCAAUUCUCU